GUUGAGGUCUAUCCCGGUGGGGCUUUUUCUGUAGCCAUACAUCGUUGGAAACGCCUCAUAGAGUAACACUGUGGUUUUGCUUUCCUCACAGGACUAUUUGUUAGAUCUGUGGAAAGGAACUCUACCAGACAGUU
RNAcentral lists this small nucleolar RNA (134 nucleotides) under Propithecus coquereli (Coquerel's sifaka). Lineage: Eukaryota; Metazoa; Chordata; Mammalia; Primates; Indriidae. The record is from RNAcentral.